GUGCUUGCUUCGGCAGCACAUAUACUAAAAUUGGAAUGAUACAGAGAAGAUUAGCAUGACCCCUGCACAAGGAGGCCAUGCAGAUUUAUGAAGCGUUCCAUAUUUUU
Molecule: small nuclear RNA, 107 nt
Organism: Mesoplodon densirostris (Blainville's beaked whale)
Lineage: Eukaryota; Metazoa; Chordata; Mammalia; Artiodactyla; Ziphiidae
Source: RefSeq, a predicted model, not a curated record